AGGGCACCACCAGGAGUGGAGUCUGCGGCUUAAUUUGACUCAACACGGGGAAACUUACCCGGCCUGGACACUGGAAGGAUUGACAGAUUGAGAGCUCUUUCUUGAUUCAGUGGGUGGUGGUGCAUGGCCGUUCUUAGUUGGUGGAGCGAUUUGUCUGGUUAAUUCCGAUAACGAACGAGACUCUAGCCUAUUAAAUAGGCUCUCGGCUUUUAAACGCCAGGAGGACUUCUUAGAGGGACAGGUGGCGGUUCAGCCGCACGAAAGAGAGCAAUAACAGGUCUGUGAUGCCCUUUGUUGUCCGGGGCCGCACGCGCGCUACACUGAAGAGAUCAGCGUGCUUUACGUUCCUGCUCCGACCGGAGUGGGGAACCCAGUGAACCUUCUUCGUGAUUGGGAUAGAAGAUUGUAAUUAUUCUUCUUGAACGAGGAAUUCCCAGUAAAUGCGAGUCAUAAGCUCGCGUUGAUUACGUCCCUGCCCUUUGUACACACCGCCCGUCGCUACUACCGAUUGAACGAUUU
Molecule: ribosomal RNA, 519 nt
Filed under: uncultured eukaryote
Lineage: Eukaryota
Description: SSU rRNA
Rfam family: Eukaryotic small subunit ribosomal RNA
Source: RNAcentral